AUUGAACGCUGGCGGCAUGCCUUACACAUGCAAGUCGAACGGCAGCACGGGUGCUUGCACCUGGUGGCGAGUGGCGAACGGGUGAGUAAUACAUCGGAACAUGUCCUGUAGUGGGGGAUAGCCCGGCGAAAGCCGGAUUAAUACCGCAUACGAUCUACGGAUGAAAGCGGGGGACCUUCGGGCCUCGCGCUAUAGGGUUGGCCGAUGGCUGAUUAGCUAGUUGGUGGGGUAAAGGCCUACCAAGGCGACGAUCAGUAGCUGGUCUGAGAGGACGACCAGCCACACUGGGACUGAGACACGGCCCAGCCUCCUACGGGAGGCAGCAGUGGGGAAUUUUGGACAAUGGGCGAAAGCCUGAUCCAGCAAUGCCGCGUGUGUGAAGAAGGCCUUCGGGUUGUAAAGCACUUUUGUCCGGAAAGAAAUCCUUGGCUCUAAUACAGUCGGGGGAUGACGGUACCGGAAGAAUAAGCACCGGCUAACUACGUG
Molecule: ribosomal RNA, 486 nt
Filed under: uncultured bacterium
Lineage: Bacteria
Description: partial 16S ribosomal RNA
Rfam family: Bacterial small subunit ribosomal RNA
Source: RNAcentral